Molecule: long non-coding RNA, 2765 nt
Organism: Anolis carolinensis (green anole)
Lineage: Eukaryota; Metazoa; Chordata; Lepidosauria; Squamata; Anolidae
Exons: 3
Source: RefSeq, a predicted model, not a curated record
GAUGAGCAUGCAACGUUUCCUCUACUAAUUGUGUGCCUUAAGAAACUGAGGAAAGAGGGCCGACUAUCUCUGUUCUGCCACUGUUCUACACGCUCUGUUUCCUUGGUUACAGCUCAGCUGUCAAUCAAACCUCAUGCUUGAUUGAUUCCAGCUUCUUAUUCUUGUUGCUUGGAUACACAGCAACUCAGCUCCACCUCCCGUUGUGAAGCAUCCGUUCCCAACAUGGCAGUUGGAAGCAACAGUUGGUGUUUCUUCCUCUUGCUUUGCCAGAGUUCCUGACUCUUUCUUGGAUGGAAACUCCAAUUCCUUCAAUUUCACCCCAUUUUUUAUUUUCUCGGCUUUCAAAAGUACAACCUUUGAACCAUCUGCAAGCUUAUUUGGGUUUUUUGGCUCAAUUGGUUUUGAUUUCAGUUGUCUCAAAGGCAUAUUUAACGAACCUUCCCAAACACUAUCACUAGCUGUAAUAAGUAUUUUUUUAAUAAACUUUUGUCAUUGCUAUUCCCAGACGCAUGUAGGUCUGUGGCCACCUGAGAACUCUGAGAACGUAAAAUCUGUGGCUGAGAUUGGUUUCACAGUAUUUGAUUUUUCCUCUAACGGCCUUUAACACUUCUGUGCAUACUUUAUUUAAAUUUUAUUUGGGAACGUAAAGGCCAAAAACACACUUGGCUGGCUUUACAGGAAACUUUAAAACUAAUGUGAAAGCUCAGGAGUUAACAGUGGUAACUGAAAUAACUUUGGACUGGAACUCCUGCUACAUAUGAUGGCACACAAGGAAUAACCCAACAGAUGGUGAGUUGCUCCUCCAGAGAAUGGAUUGCUGCCACUCAGAGAAUGUAUCAUUUCCUCUGCUACCAUAAGCAGCCAGCUUCGUUAUGGAUUUGGAAGGAUGUUCCAGAAUGAGGAGGAAUUUAAUGGCAAAAAAGGAAAAUAAAGAAGUGAGAAAUAAGAUGAACUUAUUCUAGAAGAUAACAGGAGUGACCUGUGGUAGAGGGGAGCCAUAAAAAUGGGUUCUUUUCCCCCUGUGACAGAGGAUUCAGAAGUGAAUUUCCAGGGUGAAGCUGGCUGCAACUAAGAAUGUAUAUACACCAUAAAGAACUUACCCUUCGUGAUGGUGGUGGUGAUGAUGGUGGUGGUGGUGAUGAUGAUGGUGAUGAUGCUGUGGCCCAAUAAACUGACGGCAGUUAAAUAAUUCAUUUCCAAUUGCUUCCCCGAGAAAGUCCCCUGUAUGUGUUAUGCAGGAAUCUUGAGAACCUUGUGAUAUGUGAGUUGCACUCAUUUCUCCAGUCAUAUCGUGGUCUGUGUCCUCUGUGUGUGAACAAGGGUCUAGCAUUCUAAUCCGGUUAUCCACUGGUGGUAAAGAGUCAGUAUUAAAAACGUGGUCAUUUCCAGUUCCAUUGCUUACACCGCUUCUCUCUGCUGAUGCCUGAGCUUCUCCCAAGCAAAUGCCUGACUGAGAUUCCAUUUUUCGGCUUCGCAAUUCUGCACUUCGACCAUUUUUCUGGGAGUUAUGACUCCGCUCUUCCUCCUCCUCCUCUUCCUCCUCCUUGAGAGCUUCAAUAUCAGCAAUGUCCUCUGACUGCACCUCACUGCCUGGGCUCCCUGCAGAUUGGCUUGCAUGGCUGGAGUUGGCCUCGUUGCUGGACCCAUCACUGUGGCCGCUGCUGCUUCCUGGCCCACUGCUGCCAUCUUCACCACUAUUUGCUGUCUCAUCAGAGCUUCCUUGCAUUGAUUCCUUUAAGAAAACAUACAGGGAUACAAAACUUGAGUUUUUAUUUCCGAAAUACACAUUCUACAUUUUCAGUGCCUAUUGGGAUUCCCCAGAGACUCUGAAUGAAAAACAAAGAUAUGAAAUUACGAUACAAUCAAUCUUCUAAAAUGUAUCAACAAUGAACUGUAGAAAUAUAUUCCAACAUAGCAAAUGUGAAAGCACACAAAAGAAAGUAAAGUGGUUGAAAUGCUAACCAAUAUUUUGAUUAAUACUAACUAAUAAUAUAAUAUUAGCUAAUAUUAAUCAAUCAUUUAUUCUGAAAAAAAGAAGAAGUUUCAUGCUUGUUUGAAAGAUGUUCCUUGGAGAACAGAUUGUAACUAUUUUCAACUGUUGUUUUGGUCUAUCUAAUAAGAAGUGGUGUGUGAAAUAUAGACAUUUCCCCCCUUUUCCAGAAAGUAAAAAGUAGAUGACAUUUCUCUGUUUUCACCAAGAAGGGAACACACUCCACAGCCUAAAUCAGAAAAAUAGUGAUUUAAAUGUUCAUGAAACUAUGCUCCUCAAGGACUAUCCAACUCCCAGAUGGCAGCAUUAAUUAGAAGAGCUUGUUUGUCAUAUAUCAAUGGCAGACAACCUGUGGAAACUCUGCCCAGAUUAACUGUGACUUCAAAAAAAGUCAAACUGUGACAUCAAGAGGCACAAUCCAGAGGGAGAUGAGAGAGCUGGUAGGUCAUUCACCUCUCUGAUCAGCCUAAUUUGUCUGUUGAAGCUAUCACCAUAAAGGAAAAUAAAAUAUUUUACCUCUGUAUCUGAAAGCCGCUGCUGAACAUGUUUAUUUCUACUAAUCAGCUGCUCUUCCAUUUCAAUGUCACUUCCUCCACUCUGAUGAGUAUCACUGUUGUCACUACUUUGAGGACUUGCCGCAGGUGACCCUGUUUCAGGAGGAAUUUUCAACUUACUCCAGCUUUUUCAACACAUCACAUCACAUCGCAGCAUAGUGAAGCCAAGAAGUUUUUAAUUAAGAAUAAGGACUUCAACACCAAAAUAACUCAGCUGUAAU